RNAcentral lists this ribosomal RNA (341 nucleotides) under Drosophila vallismaia. RNAcentral's name for it is "28S ribosomal RNA, D2 domain". The record is from RNAcentral. Lineage: Eukaryota; Metazoa; Arthropoda; Insecta; Diptera; Drosophilidae.
CCCGAAGUAUCCUGAAUCUUUCGCAUUGUUAAUCAUACAAAUGCAUAUAAUAAACAUAAAAAUCAUUGAUAAUUAUGCCAUUAUAUAAUUCCGAAAAAUUAACGCACUGUAUUUUUAUUAAUCUAUCAACACUUUAUCAAAUUAAUGACAUUUAUUCUGUGUUAAAAUGCAAGCAUAAUAAUUUGAAUAAACUAUAAGCCAUAUUUUAUGAUAAAUUUUUAUAUGUUAAUAGAUUACAAUGUCCUUAUAUGGAAAAAAUGCACAUUAUUUGUAUAAAUAUUGUUAAAAUAUUAUAACUCUAAUGAUGAAUUUUCCAUAAUGGAUAUUCAGGUUCAUCGGGC